CUAACGGCUGAACCAGCAACUUGCAGGAAUGAGAGUUAAUAUAAUAAGUUAUUAACUUGCUUGACUAGGUCUUAUAAAGUUCUGGAUAAAGCUUAUUAUGAAAACUUUAUAUCCAUAGGUCUCGACCAAAUCUUGUGCCAGCAGUCGCGGUAAGACAAGGGAGACGAGUGUUAUUCAUCUUUAACAGGUAUAUAGGGUACCUAGACGGUGUGCAAUGGCUUAAAUAAGUACCUGGUACACUUGAGUUUGAUAUGUGAGAGGAAUAUGUCGGAAUUGUUGGAGGAAAGAUGAAAUUUGUUAAUACCAAUAGGACUGAUAACGGCGAAGGCAAACCUCUAUGUACAUGUACUUGCUGCUAUUUCUAAGCUAUAAAAAAUGAAAUGAUAAAUAAAAAAAAAUUUUUCUCUUAUAAAAAAUAUCAGAUUGAUAAAGAGGAAAAAAAAGCAGCAAUGUACUAUAACUGACGUUGAGGGACGAAGGCUCAGAGAGUGAAGAGGAUUAGAUACCCCCGUAACCUGGGCAGACAAUGAUGAGUGCCAUAGGUUGGCUUUAAGGCGGAACUAUAAAUGAAAGUGGAAGCACUCCACCUCAAGAGUAAUGUGGCAACGCAGGAACUGAAAUCAUUAGACCGUUUCUGAAACCAGUAGUGAAGU
Molecule: ribosomal RNA, 653 nt
Filed under: Alternaria chartarum
Lineage: Eukaryota; Fungi; Ascomycota; Dothideomycetes; Pleosporales; Pleosporaceae
Description: partial small subunit ribosomal RNA
Rfam family: Bacterial small subunit ribosomal RNA
Source: RNAcentral